Molecule: long non-coding RNA, 1543 nt
Filed under: Homo sapiens (human)
Lineage: Eukaryota; Metazoa; Chordata; Mammalia; Primates; Hominidae
Description: HSALNT0343638
Source: RNAcentral
CUUCGCAGUAAAUGCCUGAGAUGCGGACUAUAAGAAGGUUCCCUGCGAUAUUGUAGGGAAAUAUUCAGUGCAGACACCAGACUGCUCUGAACGCUUAACUUGGAGAGUGCUGCCUUGGAACAUUUUAUCUGCAACGCGGCAUUCUGGUUUUGAGAGUGUGUAUGUGCCCUUUUGUGCCUGUAUGUUGUUUCAUCUGUCUACCCUUUCUGGAUGAAAGCUCCAUGGGAGCAGUAAUUCACCACUGUACUCCAGCACUUGGAAAAGUGCCUAGGUGCAUGGUAGGUUAAUCUGCUCCCAAACCAGGUCUGAUUCUUAACUCCCAGAGACAACAUCCUACCAUCUGAGGGUUCUGUUUACCAGCUCUAGCUCCAGCCAGUAUUUAUUCACCACACAUUCUCUAGAGUCCUGACCCACUCCCCUUGCCAAAUCUCACACAUUCUUCUGCUUGUUCCUGACACCUACAGAAUUGUUUAAACUUGGCACAUAUGGUCCUUUAGAGGCUAACGCUGGUCAGCUUUACCAGUCUCUUCUCCAGUUAACCGCUCCAUGCUCUAAUCCUACAGAAUUUCUCACCAGUUCCUGCUGUGUUUCAUGCCUUUAUCCAUGCGGGCUCUAGAUGGGAUGCCUUAUCCUCUUCUCUGGCAAAUCCACCCAUUCACUCAACAAAUAUUUACUGAAUGUUUAAUAUGCGCAUACUGUGUAAAGGACUGGAGAAUCAAAGAAAAAUAAGACAAGAGUCUGCCAGUCUGGCUGGUAUGAGAGUCAGACAACUCAGCCAACACAACACUAUGGGAAGAGAACAGUAACAGGGAUGAGUGGCCCAUAAUCAGAACAGGAUGUGGCAGGAGGGCGUUUUAAGGGAGAAAGUCUUCCGGGAUGAGGUAAAAUGCCUGAGCUGAGUCUUGACAAGGAAGUACAGGCUGAUUAGGUAAACCAGGGAGGAGAUGACAUUUUAGGAAGUGUUAAAUGAUCACAAAGUCCUCCUCAGUAUUAUUAUAAAAGUCUCUAUUUCCUCAUUUUCUAAAUGAAUUUAACUGCUUCAUGGAAGACAUGGAAUUCAGGGUCAAGUGGGAGAGACGUCAGUGCGUGAGAACUUCAGUGCUAUUUUGAAUCCUGAUUGAAGAGAUCAAAAGAGAAUAUAAGAAGUUAGAACUCAUUUCUGGGGCACCACCUCGAUGAAAAAGCUGACAAGUUCCUGCUACCCAGAGCCCUGCAGUUGCCACAGCUCAAUCUCUUCUCAACCUGGUGCCCAGCUUUUCCUGUUGAUUCUGCAACUAGGCCAGUCAUCUUUUCAAAAAUUCCUUUUCUGCUUGUUGACUAUCUCUGCUAUUUGCAACCAGAAGUAUUUAGAUAAAAUAUUUUUAAAAUGUAUAUGUCACCUUUUUCCUAAUUAUGAUGCAAACUUAUCGCAGAAAACUCGUAAUUCUAUACAUUAGAUACAACUAAUGUUAACAUCUUAGUGUUUCCUUCUACUCUUCUAUUCUAAAUAUAUAUACAUAUAUACUUCUUUAAAAAUAGUUGAGUAAUUAGAAGUAGAGUGACU